UUUCCGUAGGUGAACCUGCGGAAGGAUCAUUAUUGUAUAACCGAGGUGCGAGGGCUGUCGCUGACCCGAAAGUUCGUGCACGCCCGAGUGCCCUCACACACAUCCAUCUCACCCCUAUAUGCACCACCGCGUGGGUCCCCCUUAGGCCUGUUCGGAGGGGGGCUUACGUUUUCACACAAACUUUGUAUGCAGUGUAGAAUGUAUUUUUUGUUUUUGCGAUCACGCAAUCAAUACAACUUUCAACAACGGAUCUCUUGGCUCUC
This 263-nucleotide unclassified non-coding RNA is filed under the name plant metagenome. RNAcentral's name for it is "partial contains small subunit ribosomal RNA, internal transcribed spacer 1, and 5.8S ribosomal RNA". The record is from RNAcentral.